GACGAACGCUGGCGGCGUGCUUAACACAUGCAAGUCGAACGGAAAGGCCCUGCUUUUGUGGGGUGCUCGAGUGGCGAACGGGUGAGUAACACGUUAUUAACCUGCCCUUUACUUUGGGAUAACUUCAGGAAACUGGGGCUAAUACCGGAUAGGAGCUCCUGCUGCAUGGUGGGGGUUGGAACGUUUCGGCGGUUGGGGAUGGACUCGCGGCUUAUCAGCUUGUUGGUGGGGUAGUGGCUUACCAAGGCUUUGACGGGUAGCCGGCCUGAGAGGGUGACCGGCAACAUUGGGAAUGAGAGACGGCCCAGAAUGCUACGGGAGGCAGCAGUGGGGAAUAUUGCACAAUGGGCGGAAGCCUGAUGCAGCAACGCCGCGUGCGGGAUGACGGCCUUCGGGUUGUAAACCGAUUUCGCCUGUGACGAAGCGUGAGUGACGGUAAUGGGUAAAGAAGCACCGGCUAACGACGUG
Molecule: ribosomal RNA, 468 nt
Filed under: uncultured bacterium
Lineage: Bacteria
Description: partial 16S ribosomal RNA
Rfam family: Bacterial small subunit ribosomal RNA
Source: RNAcentral